Molecule: unclassified non-coding RNA, 338 nt
Filed under: uncultured fungus
Lineage: Eukaryota; Fungi
Description: partial contains 5.8S ribosomal RNA and internal transcribed spacer 2
Rfam family: 5.8S ribosomal RNA (bases 1-133)
Source: RNAcentral
UGGCUCUAGCAUCGAUGAAGAACGCAGCGAAAUGCGAUAAGUAAUGCGAAUUGCAGAAUUCCGCGAGUCAUCGAAUCUUUGAACGCACAUUGCGCCUGCCGGUACUCCGGCAGGCAUGCCUGUUCGAGCGUCAUUCCAACCCUCAGGUGCGCUGUUGCCGCCUGGUGUUGGGGGUGCCGCGGCGCUGGCCGCGGCCCCCCGAAAGGCAGGGGCGGACCUCCCAGGACUCCGAGCGCAGUAAUUCUUCCUCGCUCAGGGCGUCUCGGGGGGCUCUUCCAGCCCUAAAAACCCCAACUCUUUUGACGUUUGACCUCGGAUCAGGUAGGAAUACCCGCUGA